GCGGGUGUGACCGAGGGGCUAGGUAGCGGUCUGCAAAGCCGUACACGCGGGUUCGACUCCCGCCGCUCGCUCCA
Molecule: transfer RNA, 74 nt
Filed under: Nocardia yunnanensis
Lineage: Bacteria; Bacillati; Actinomycetota; Actinomycetes; Mycobacteriales; Nocardiaceae
Also listed under: 1 other name
Description: Nocardia sp. CFHS0054 tRNA-Cys
Rfam family: tRNA
About the family: Transfer RNA (tRNA) molecules are approximately 80 nucleotides in length. Their secondary structure includes four short double-helical elements and three loops (D, anti-codon, and T loops).
Source: RNAcentral